AACGCGCAUUGCGCUCUCGGGAUUUCCUGAGAGCAGGUCUGCUUCAGUGCUUAGC
This 55-nucleotide ribosomal RNA is filed under the name Symbiodinium sp. B13. Its description in RNAcentral is "partial 5.8S ribosomal RNA". Lineage: Eukaryota; Dinophyceae; Suessiales; Symbiodiniaceae. The record is from RNAcentral.